RNAcentral lists this ribosomal RNA (290 nucleotides) under uncultured bacterium. RNAcentral describes it as "partial 16S ribosomal RNA". It matches the Rfam family "Bacterial small subunit ribosomal RNA", at positions 775 to 1067 of the family's 1533-position model. The record is from RNAcentral.
GGAUUAGAUACCCUGGUAGUCCACGCCCUAAACGAUGAACACUAGCCGUAGGUAUUGAUAGAUAUGUGUGGCGUAGCUAACGCGAGAAGUGUUCCGCCUGGGGAUUACGACCGCAAGGUUAAAACUCAAAGGAAUUGACGGGGGCCCGCACAAGCGGUGGAGCAUGUGGUUUAAUUCGAUGCAACGCGAAGAACCUUACCUACUCUUGACGACCGUCGAAUUGGCGUGAAAGCGCUGAGUGCUUCGGCAAGACGAGACAGGUGCUGCAUGGCUGUCGUCAGCUCGUGCCG